Molecule: microRNA, 20 nt
Filed under: Monodelphis domestica (gray short-tailed opossum)
Lineage: Eukaryota; Metazoa; Chordata; Mammalia; Didelphimorphia; Didelphidae
Description: mdo-miR-7375d-3p
Source: miRBase by way of RNAcentral
UAGGGCGGGGAAAGGCAUUG